AAAUUGAAGAGUUUGAUCAUGGCUCAGAUUGAACGCUGGCGGCAGGCCUAACACAUGCAAGUCGAACGGUAGCACAGAGAGCUUGCUCUCGGGUGACGAGUGGCGGACGGGUGAGUAAUGUCUGGGAAACUGCCUGAUGGAGGGGGAUAACUACUGGAAACGGUGGCUAAUACCGCAUAACGUCGCAAGACCAAAGAGGGGGA
RNAcentral lists this ribosomal RNA (203 nucleotides) under Salmonella enterica subsp. enterica serovar Infantis. RNAcentral's name for it is "partial 16S ribosomal RNA". It matches the Rfam family "Bacterial small subunit ribosomal RNA", at positions 1 to 213 of the family's 1533-position model. Lineage: Bacteria; Pseudomonadati; Pseudomonadota; Gammaproteobacteria; Enterobacterales; Enterobacteriaceae. RNAcentral also lists the same sequence under 4 other names. The record is from RNAcentral.